RNAcentral lists this ribosomal RNA (468 nucleotides) under uncultured bacterium. RNAcentral describes it as "bacterial SSU rRNA". It matches the Rfam family "Bacterial small subunit ribosomal RNA", at positions 29 to 478 of the family's 1533-position model. The record is from RNAcentral.
AACGAACGCUGGCGGCGUGGAUAAGACAUGCAAGUCGAACGGGACAUUAUUUGUAGCAAUACAAAUGAUGUUCAGUGGCGCAAGGGUGUGUAACACGUGGGCAAUCUACCGGAAAGUGGGGAAUAGCUCGCCGAAAGGCGAAUUAAUACCGCAUAUGGCCAGGGAAGACCUCUUCCCGCAGCCAAAGCUGGGGCAACCUAGCGCUUACCGAUGAGCCCGCGGCCUANCAGCUAGUUGGCGGGGUAACGGCCCACCAAGGCGAUGACGGGUAGCUGGUCUGAGAGGACGACCAGUCACACUGGAACUGAGACACGGUCCAGACACCUACGGGUGGCAGCAGUCGAGAAUUUUUCUCAAUGGGGGAAACCCUGAAGGAGCGACGCCGCGUGGAGGAUGAAGGUCUUCGGGUUGUAAACUCCUGUCAUUUGAGAACAGUGCACCGGUUAACUGCCGGUGCAUUGAUAGUAU